This 72-nucleotide transfer RNA is filed under the name Actinomycetota bacterium. RNAcentral's name for it is "tRNA-Gln". It matches the Rfam family "tRNA". Rfam says of the family: Transfer RNA (tRNA) molecules are approximately 80 nucleotides in length. Lineage: Bacteria; Bacillati; Actinomycetota. The record is from RNAcentral.
UCCCCUGUGGGGUAAUUGGCAGCCCGCGGGCCUUUGAAGCCUGAGGUCCUGGAUCGAAGCCAGGCGGGGGAG